Molecule: ribosomal RNA, 1475 nt
Filed under: uncultured bacterium
Lineage: Bacteria
Description: bacterial SSU rRNA
Rfam family: Bacterial small subunit ribosomal RNA
Source: RNAcentral
AGAGUUUGAUCCUGGCUCAGGAUGAACGCUAGCGGCAGGCUUAACACAUGCAAGUCGAGGGGCAGCACGGGUAGCAAUACCUGGUGGCGACCGGCGGAAGGGUGCGUAACGCGUGAGCAACAUGCCCUAUACAGGGGAAUAAACCAGGGAAACUUGGUCUAAUGCCCCAUAGCAAUAAGAUAAGGCAUCUUAUUUUAUUUAAAGCUUCGGUGGUAUAGGAUUGGCUCGCGUGACAUUAGCUGGAUGGUGGGGUAACGGCCCACCAUGGCGAUGAUGUCUAGGGGUUCUGAGAGGAAGACCCCCCACACUGGGACUGAGACACGGCCCAGACUCCUACGGGAGGCAGCAGUGAGGAAUAUUGGACAAUGGAUGGAAAUCUGAUCCAGCCAUGCCGCGUGCAGGAAGACGGCCCUAUGGGUUGUAAACUGCUUUUCUACGGGAGCAAUAAGGUCUACGCGUAGACUGAUGAGAGUACCGUAGGAAUAAGCAUCGGCUAACUCCGUGCCAGCAGCCGCGGUAAUACGGAGGAUGCGAGCGUUAUCCGGAUUUAUUGGGUUUAAAGGGUGCGUAGGCGGCUUUUUAAGUCAGCGGUGAAAUUUUGCAGCUUUAACUGUACCAGUGCCCGUUGAAUAUUGGGGAGCUAGGAUUUAGGUUCCUCUGGGUGACAUGUUUGGUGUAGCGGUGAAAAUGCCUUAGAGGAUCCACCCGAAUAUUCGAUCGAAGGGCAGCUCACAAAAGCCAAGAUUGACGCUAGGCACGAAAAGUGUGGGGAUCAAACCAGGAUUAGAUACCCUGGUAGUCCACACUGUAAACGAUGAUAACUCGCUGUCGGCGAUACACAGUCGGUGGCCAAGCGAAAGCGAUAAGUUAUCCACCUGGGGAGUACGACCGCAAGGUUAAACUCAAAGGAAUUGACGGGGGCCCGCACAAGCGGAGGAACAUGUGGUUUAAUUCGAUGAUACGCGAGGAACCUUACCCGGGCUCGAACGGUGCAUGAAUGGACAAGAGAUUGUUCAGACCUUAGGGACAUGUAUCGAGGUGCUGCAUGGUUGUCGUCAGCUCGUGCCGUGAGGUGUCGGCUAGCCAUAACGAGCGCAACCCUUGUCAUUAGUUACCAUCAGGUAGAGCUGGGGACUCUAAUGAGACUGCCACCGUAAGGUGAGAGGAAGGGGGGGAUGACGUCAAAUCAGCACGGCCCUUAUGUCCGGGGCGACACACGUGUUACAAUGGGGGGUACAGAGGGCAGCCAUCCGGCGACGGAGCGCCAAUCUCAAAAACCCUUCUCAGUUCGGAUUGGAGUCUGCAACUCGACUCCAUGAAGUUGGAUUCCAGUAAUCGCGCAUCGGCCAUGGCGCGGUGAAUACGUUCCCGGGCCUUGUAACCGCCCGUCAAGCCAUGGAAGCUUGGGGUGCCUGAAGUUCGUGACCGCAAGGAGCGACCUAGGGCAUAUGAACUGGGGCUAAGUCGUAACAAGG